UGUAGGAUAGGUGGGAGACUGUGAAACCUCGACGCCAGUUGGGGCGGAGUCGUUGUUGAAAUACCACUCUGAUCGUAUUGGGCAUCUAACCUCGAACCCUGAAUCGGGUUUAGGGACAGUGCCUGGCGGGUAGUUUAACUGGGGCGGUUGCCUCCUAAAAUGUAACGGAGGCGCCCAAAGGUUCCCUCAACCUGGACGGCAAUCAGGUGGCGAGUGUAAAUGCACAAGGGAGCUUGACUGCGAGACUUACAAGUCAAGCAGGGACGAAAGUCGGGAUUAGUGAUCCGGCACCCCCGAGUGGAAGGGGUGUCGCUCAACGGAUAAAAGGUACCCCGGUGGAUAACAGGCUGAUCUUCCCCAAGAGUCCAUAUCGACGGGAUGGUUUGGCACCUCGAUGUCGGCUCGUCGCAUCCUGGGGCUGGAGCAGGUCCCAAGGGUUGGGCUGUUCGCCCAUUAAAGCGGCACGCGAGCUGGGUUUAGAACGUCGUGAGACAGUUCGGUCUCUAUCCGCCGCGCGCGUCAGAAACUUGAGGAAACCUGUCCCUAGUACGAGAGGACCGGGACGGACGAACCUCUGGUGCACCAGUUGUCCCGCCAGGGGCACCGCUGGAUAGCCACGUUCGGUCAGGAUAACCGCUGAAAGCAUCUAAGCGGGAAACCUUCUCCAAGAUCAGGUUUCUCACCCACUUGGUGGGAUAAGGCCCCCCGCAGAACACGGGUUCAAUAGGUCAGACCUGGAAGCUCAGUAAUGGGUGUAGGGAACUGGUGCUAACCGGCCGAAAACUUACAACA
This 792-nucleotide ribosomal RNA is filed under the name Mycobacterium tuberculosis EAS054. RNAcentral describes it as "bacterial LSU rRNA". It matches the Rfam family "Bacterial large subunit ribosomal RNA", at positions 2137 to 2925 of the family's 2925-position model. Lineage: Bacteria; Bacillati; Actinomycetota; Actinomycetes; Mycobacteriales; Mycobacteriaceae. The record is from RNAcentral.